Molecule: ribosomal RNA, 595 nt
Filed under: Oxyrrhis marina
Lineage: Eukaryota; Dinophyceae; Oxyrrhinales; Oxyrrhinaceae
Description: partial Bacterial small subunit ribosomal RNA
Rfam family: Bacterial small subunit ribosomal RNA
Source: RNAcentral
AGCGGUGGAUGAUGUGGAUUAAUUCGAUGCAACGCGAAGAACCUUACCAAGGCUUGACAUAUACGAGAACGCUGCAGAAAUGUAGAACUCUUUGGACACUCGUAAACAGGUGGUGCAUGGUUGUCGUCAGCUCGUGUCGUGAGAUGUUGGGUUAAGUCCCGUAACGAGCGCAACCCUUAUCCUUAUUUGCCAGCACGUAAUGGUGGGAACUCUAAGGAGACUGCCGGUGACAAACCGGAGGAAGGAGAGGACGACGUCAAGUCAUCAUGGCCCUUACGGCCUGGGCUACACACGUGCUACAAUGGAACGCACAGAGGGCAGCAAACCCGCGAGGGGGAGCGAAUCCCACAAAACGUUUCGUAGUCCGGAUCGGAGUCUGCAACUCGACUCCGUGAAGUCGGAAUCGCUAGUAAUCGCGAAUCAGCAUGUCGCGGUGAAUACGUUCCCGGGCCUUGUACACACCGCCCGUCAAGCCAUGGAAUCUGGGGGUACCUGAAGUCCGUCACCGUAAGGAGCGGCCUAGGGUAAAACUGGUAACUAGGGCUAAGUCGUAACAAGGUAGCCGUACCGGAAGGUGCGGCUGGAACACCUCCUU